This 401-nucleotide unclassified non-coding RNA is filed under the name Hevea brasiliensis (rubber tree). Lineage: Eukaryota; Viridiplantae; Streptophyta; Magnoliopsida; Malpighiales; Euphorbiaceae. The record is from RNAcentral.
GCGCUUCCGGCGACUAUUUCCGUCAAAGGUACUUGGUGAAAAUUCUUCGAGUAACGAAGUUCUGUUGGAGCUGAUUAGGGAUGGCUCCAAAGCAGCCAAAUACAGGCCUUUCUGUGGGUCUUAACAAAGGACAUGUUGUUACUAAGAAAGAGUUGGCUCCCCGCCCUUCUGAUAGAAAAGGGAAAACCAGUAAGAGAAUACAUUUUGUUAGAAGCCUUAUCAGGGAAGUAGCUGGUUUUGCACCUUAUGAGAAGAGAAUUACUGAGCUUCUUAAAGUUGGAAAAGACAAACGUGCUCUUAAGGUAGCCAAGAGGAAGCUGGGUACUCACAAGAGAGCAAAGAAGAAGCGUGAAGAGAUGUCCAGUGUUCUCCGUAAAAUGAGGGCUACUGGAGGUGGUGAA